UGGCUCAGGACGAACGCUGGCGGCGUGCCUAACACAUGCAAGUCGAGCGGAGACAUGCGACGGAAGAGAAGUUUCGGAUGGAUCGGAAGAUGUAUGUUUAGCGGCGGACGGGUGAGUAACGCGUGAGCAACCUGUCCUUCACAGGGGGAUAACACAGCGAAAGUUGUACUAAUACCGCAUGAGACCACAGCGGGACAUCCCGCAGGGGUCAAAGGAGCAAUCCGGUGAAGGGUGGGCUCGCGUCCGAUUAGAUAGUUGGUGAGGUAACGGCCCACCAAGUCGACGAUCGGUAGCCGACCUGAGAGGGUGAUCGGCCACAUUGGGACUGAGACACGGCCCAAACUCCUACGGGAGGCAGCAGUGGGGAAUAUUGGGCAAUGGGGGGAACCCUGACCCAGCAACGCCGCGUGAGGGAAGAAGGUUUUCGGAUCGUAAACCUCUGUCCUUGGUGAAGAGGAAGAGACGGUAGCCAAGGAGGAAGCCCCGGCUAACUACGUGCCAGCCGCCGC
Molecule: ribosomal RNA, 509 nt
Filed under: uncultured bacterium
Lineage: Bacteria
Description: bacterial SSU rRNA
Rfam family: Bacterial small subunit ribosomal RNA
Source: RNAcentral